GCUUACGGCCAUAUCACGUUGGCUGCAUGCCAUCCCGUCCGAUCUGGCAAGUUAAGCAACGUUGAGUGCAGUUAGUUUUUAGAUCGGAGACAGCUUGGAAAUUUUGGAUGUUGUAACCU
Molecule: non-coding RNA, 119 nt
Organism: Caenorhabditis tropicalis
Lineage: Eukaryota; Metazoa; Nematoda; Chromadorea; Rhabditida; Rhabditidae
Source: Rfam